GACGAACGCUGGCGGCACGCUUAACACAUGCAAGUCGAACGGAGAACAUUGAGCUUGCUUAAUGUUCUUAGUGGCGGACGGGUGAGUAACACGUGAGUAACCUGCCUCUGAGAGUGGGAUAGCUUCUGGAAACGGAUGGUAAUACCGCAUAACAUCAUGGAUUCGCAUGUUUCUAUGAUCAAAGAUUUAUCGCUUAGAGAUGGACUCGCGUCUGAUUAGCUAGUUGGUAAGGUAACGGCUUACCAAGGCGACGAUCAGUAGCCGGACUGAGAGGUUGAUUGGCCACAUUGGGACUGAGACACGGCCCAGACUCCUACGGGAGGCAGCAGUGGGGAAUAUUGCACAAUGGGGGAAACCCUGAUGCAGCGAUGCCGCGUGGAGGAAGAAGGUUUUCGGAUUGUAAACUCCUGUUGAAGAGGACGAUAAUGACGGUACUCUUUUAGAAAGCUCCGGCUAACUACGUGCCAGCAGCCGCGGUAAUACGUAGGGAGCGAGCGUUGUCCGGAAUUACUGGGUGUAAAGGGAGCGUAGGCGGGAUGGCAAGUCAGAUGUGAAAACUAUGGGCUCAACCCAUAGACUGCAUUUGAAACUGUUGUUCUUGAGUGAGGUAGAGGUAAGCGGAAUUCCUGGUGUAGCGGUGAAAUGCGUAGAGAUCAGGAGGAACAUCGGUGGCGAAGGCGGCUUACUGGGCCUUUACUGACGCUGAGGCUCGAAAGCGUGGGGAGCAAACAGGAUUAGAUACCCUGGUAGUCCACGCCGUAAACGAUGAUUACUAGGUGUGGGGGGACUGACCCCUUCCGUGCCGCAGUUAACACAAUAAGUAAUCCACCUGGGGAGUACGGCCGCAAGGUUGAAACUCAAAGGAAUUGACGGGGGCCCGCACAAGCAGUGGAGUAUGUGGUUUAAUUCGAAGCAACGCGAAGAACCUUACCAGGUCUUGACAUCCUACUAACGAGAUAGAGAUAUGUUAGGUGCCCUUCGGGGAAAGUAGAGACAGGUGGUGCAUGGUUGUCGUCAGCUCGUGUCGUGAGAUGUUGGGUUAAGUCCCGCAACGAGCGCAACCCUCGCCCUGUGUUGCCAGCACGUCAUGGUGGGAACUCACGGGGGACCGCCGGGGUCAACUCGGAGGAAGGUGGGGAUGACGUCAGAUCAUCAUGCCCCUUACGUCCAGGGCUUCACGCAUGCUACAAUGGCCGGUACAACGGGAUGCGACACGGCGACGUGGAGCGGAUCCCUGAAAACCGGUCUCAGUUCGGAUUGGAGUCUGCAACCCGACUCCAUGAAGGCGGAGUCGCUAGUAAUCGCGGAUCAGCAACGCCGCGGUGAAUGCGUUCCCGGGCCU
RNAcentral lists this ribosomal RNA (1342 nucleotides) under uncultured bacterium. RNAcentral describes it as "bacterial SSU rRNA". It matches the Rfam family "Bacterial small subunit ribosomal RNA", at positions 28 to 1381 of the family's 1533-position model. The record is from RNAcentral.